This 1074-nucleotide long non-coding RNA is filed under the name Marmota monax (woodchuck). Lineage: Eukaryota; Metazoa; Chordata; Mammalia; Rodentia; Sciuridae. The record is from RNAcentral.
UUGCUCCCAGACUUCGUUGGUUUGCUGGCAAUCUUUGGUUUCUCCCUGUAUGCAUCUAUGUCAAUCUAAAUUUCCUCUUUUAUAAGAAAGUCAUAUAGGAUUGGGAACCCCGAACCCCUGCACUCCAGGAUGACUCAUCUUAAGUAACUAUAGUUGCAAUUAUCUUCUUGCUAGAUAAGAUCAUAUAUUGAGGUUAAAAUGUCAAAAUAUGAUUUGGGGGGCACAAAUCACCUCAUUGCCAGCAGCAUGCCUGUUCUCAUGCCCUCCUCACCAGCUGGCCCUACCAACUGCUCAGCAGGCAGACUCUCCACCCUUCCUUGUAGCAUGAGGUCAGCCACUUUAUAUUUCUGUUUUAAACUCUAGGAAUGGAGGUUUGGAACCUCCAACCAAAUAGAGGAAGAGAAGAAGAGAAGGACAAGGAUACUCUAAGAAAAAUGAGGGGUGGGGAUUAGAGAAUAAAUGCAUGGUAAGUUGCAUGGUGGCCUCCACAAGAGGUGUCCACAUCCAAAUCCCCAGAAUCUGUGAACGUGACCUUAUUUGCAUAUGCAACUAAGAGUCUUGAGAGCAUCCUGAGUUACCCAGAUGGCUCCAAAUCUUAAGAAAAGUGACCUUGUAAGAGACAGAAGAAGAGACAACGUAGACACAAAGGAUAAGACAAUGUUGAGACAGAGACAGAAAACGAUGUCAUACAGAAUGCCAGAAUCUAGCUGGGCACAAGGAAGGGUUCUCUUCCAGAGCCUCCAGUAGGAGCUCAACCCUGCCAACACCUGGACUUCAUACCUCUGGCCUCUGAACUAUGAGAAAACACAUUGCUGAUUUUUUAAAGCUGCCUGUUCAUGGUCUUUUGCUAAUUACAGGAAAACAAUGCAGAAGGAAUGAAGGAAUUGUCCUUUGCAGGGACCACAUUGAAGCCCACAUUCCCCUCCAGCUCUGCUAUAUCCCCUGCUGAUCCUGCCACCUUUCCUGAGGGACAGAUUCUUAAGGAAUGUCAGUAUUUGGCUCAUAUCUGCUCACCUCGGCUACUACACCUGCAUUCAGGCACUCAAACCAGUACUUGACCUCAGCAAUUUAUCU